UAGAAUGAAACAACACACAUCAAGAACCCAAGAAGCCCAAUAAGAAAAGCAAAAGAGAGAGGAAUCGAAGAGUUGGUGAUAGCAAAGACCGAUGAUCACGAGGUCUGCAGAGGCGAUAGGAGAGAGGAGCGCAGCACUUAUCAGUUGAACCAAGUCUGCAUCAGUGAAGAGGAGAGCGCGGGGCUAGUGUCACGAAGCGAGAGAAUUCUGUUCCUUAUUUGUCUAUCCAAAAGGCGGUAGAUUGAAUCCGGAGAUCGAAAGAUGUUGCGAUGGAUCCUUGCAUUCCUCUCUGUCCAGGGAUGAAACCGCAGCGCAAAGAGCAAGCUUCCCACAGAUGCCAAGCAAAGGAGCAGUCAAAGAAGAGAUGAUUCCUGCUUUCAGCACUAGAGUUGCAUAGAACACAAGACGGGUCUGUUUGCU
Raphanus sativus (radish) is the source of this 420-nucleotide long non-coding RNA. RefSeq lists it as uncharacterized. NCBI's taxonomy places the organism in Eukaryota, Viridiplantae, Streptophyta, Magnoliopsida, Brassicales, Brassicaceae. The transcript is spliced from 2 exons. The record is from RefSeq and is a predicted model, not a curated record.